CAUAACCGCCAGGGAACUACGAGUUUAAUCUUAAAACCCAAAGGAUUUGACGGUGCCCCACCCACCUAGAGGAGCCUGUUUUUUAAUCGACACCCCCCGAUAUACCUUACCACUUCUUGCCCCCCAGUCUGUAUACCUCCGUCGCAAGCUUACCAUGUGAACGCAUAGUGGGCCAAAAGACUUACUGUCCAUACGUCAGGUCAAGGUGCAGCUCACGAAAUGGGAAACAAUGGGCUACAAUUUCUACAAAGAACAUACGAAAAACUGCAUGCAACACAGUCAUGAAGGUGGAUUUAGUAGUAAAAAGAAAAUAGAGAGUUCUUUUUAAUUAUGGCGCUGGGACGCGU
Molecule: ribosomal RNA, 347 nt
Filed under: Platypelis barbouri (Barbour's giant treefrog)
Lineage: Eukaryota; Metazoa; Chordata; Amphibia; Anura; Microhylidae
Description: partial 12S ribosomal RNA
Rfam family: Bacterial small subunit ribosomal RNA
Source: RNAcentral